UUCAUUCAAGCUGUGGAGUAAUAUUACUCAAGUCUUUAUUGCACUUUUUUCUAUUACAGAUGAGAGAUUCUCACAAGGCACUCUGCUGAUUGGUUUAUCUUAAAGGCGAUGCUGGUGUUGCUCAUGAAAUUGUAUUUCCUUGGCCAUGUCUUUUAUGCUUCAUUCCUUGAAUCUGUGGAACUACAGUGUUAUCUGAGAUCAUGAUUAGGCUUACGUGGAUUGUCUGCUAGCAUCAUGUUUUGAUCAGAAGCAAGUUCAGCAUAUUUCCCAAUCAUUUCAUUUAAAAUUUCGACUGCUUGAGUGUAUGGAGCUUAUGCUAUUCCUUUUGGCUGAUACUUCUGGAUAUGGGAGGAGAGACUAUUUAGGUAAUGACUUGAGGGAUAAACUUGACAGAAGGCAUGUAUCUCCUCGAAGAAUACAGUCCUACGGGGUCUUUGGAGAAAACAAGGUAAAUUAACCAUGAACCACUGAUAAUUUUGUAUGCAUCUUUUAGUUUUUGUUGGCAUUUACUGUCUAUUAUUGUUC
Molecule: long non-coding RNA, 525 nt
Organism: Glycine soja
Lineage: Eukaryota; Viridiplantae; Streptophyta; Magnoliopsida; Fabales; Fabaceae
Exons: 3
Source: RefSeq, a predicted model, not a curated record